RNAcentral lists this ribosomal RNA (464 nucleotides) under Vreelandella stevensii. Its description in RNAcentral is "partial 16S ribosomal RNA". It matches the Rfam family "Bacterial small subunit ribosomal RNA", at positions 338 to 795 of the family's 1533-position model. The record is from RNAcentral. Lineage: Bacteria; Pseudomonadati; Pseudomonadota; Gammaproteobacteria; Oceanospirillales; Halomonadaceae.
CCUACGGGUGGCUGCAGUGGGGAAUAUUGGACAAUGGGCGAAAGCCUGAUCCAGCCAUGCCGCGUGUGUGAAGAAGGCCUUCGGGUUGUAAAGCACUUUCAGUGGGGAAGAAAGCCUUGGGGCUAAUACCCUCGAGGAAGGACAUCACCCACAGAAGAAGCACCGGCUAACUCCGUGCCAGCAGCCGCGGUAAUACGGAGGGUGCGAGCGUUAAUCGGAAUUACUGGGCGUAAAGCGCGCGUAGGCGGUCUGAUAAGCCGGUUGUGAAAGCCCCGGGCUCAACCUGGGAACGGCAUCCGGAACUGUCAGGCUAGGGUGCAGGAGAGGAAGGUAGAAUUCCCGGUGUAGCGGUGAAAUGCGUAGAGAUCGGGAGGAAUACCAGUGGCGAAGGCGGCCUUCUGGACUGACACUGACGCUGAGGUGCGAAAGCGUGGGUAGCAAACAGGAUUAGUACCCGGGUAGUC